AAUCAACGCUGGCGGCGUGCCUCAGACAUGCAAGUCGAACGAUUAAAGCUCUCUUCGGAGAGUGUAUAGAGUGGCGCACGGGUGAGUAACACGUAAGUAAUCUACCCUCGAGUGGGGAAUAACAACCGGAAACGGUUGCUAAUACCGCAUAAUGCAGCGGCACCGCAAGGUGACAGUUGUUAAAGAUUUAUCGCUUGAGGAGGAGCUUGCGGCAGAUUAGCUAGUUGGUAGGGUAACGGCUUACCAAGGCUACGAUCUGUAACCGGUCUAAGAGGACGGUCGGUCACACUGACACUGAAUAACGGGUCAGACUCCUACGGGAGGCAGCAGUCGGGAAUUUUGGGCAAUGGGCGAAAGCCUGACCCAGCAAUGCCGCGUGAAGGAUGAAGUAUUUCGGUAUGUAAACUUCGAAAGAAUAGGAAGAAUUAAUGACGGUACUAUUUAUAAGGUCCGGCUAACUACGUG
Molecule: ribosomal RNA, 465 nt
Filed under: uncultured bacterium
Lineage: Bacteria
Description: bacterial SSU rRNA
Rfam family: Bacterial small subunit ribosomal RNA
Source: RNAcentral